GCUGGGUAUGGUGGUGCAUGCCUGUAAUCCCAGUCACUCGGGAGGUUGAGGCAGGAGAAUCGCUUGAACCCAGGAGGCAGAGGUUGCAGUGAGCUGAGAGCAUGCCAUUGCACCCCAGCCUGGGUGACAGAGUGAGACUCUGUCUCAA
This 148-nucleotide non-coding RNA is filed under the name Homo sapiens (human). Lineage: Eukaryota; Metazoa; Chordata; Mammalia; Primates; Hominidae. The record is from Rfam by way of RNAcentral.